RNAcentral lists this ribosomal RNA (528 nucleotides) under Triticum aestivum (bread wheat). Its description in RNAcentral is "partial small subunit ribosomal RNA". The record is from RNAcentral. Lineage: Eukaryota; Viridiplantae; Streptophyta; Magnoliopsida; Poales; Poaceae.
GUUGUGGACGAACGGACGAAACUACUAGUUCACACAGCAUCGCUGAUAGCUGUGGUCCAGGCAUGGAUCCUGUUGGACCAUAAGAGAGUUGUUCGUCGGAAUGAUAAACCUCUCAUCUGGUAUAGUCCGAUGUUAAUCCGGGGUUGGGAGAACAUAGCAAAUCUGAACUACAUCUACAACUGCAACGACAUAGAGGCUCUGUGGAUGCUUCAAAUGAGAAGAGCAUGUUUCGCCAGGCUUGUGUAGACGUUCAGAGAAGGGUUGCUAGAAGAUAGCAUCCACACCAUUGUGGAAGAGCAAGUGGCAAUAUUUCUCCAUAUUGUUCGUCAUAACCAGAGGUUCAGGGUUGUACACAACACCUUCAGGAGAUCAAUGAAGACCAUCUCCAGGUACUUAAAGCAAGUUAUGUAUGUUGUUGGGGAGCUCAGAGGAGAGAUGGUCAAGUCACCAACCAGCCAGACUCCUACCAAGAUUUGCACUAUUUCAAGAUGGUAUCCAUACUUCAAGGUGAGCACUGACAGUAUAUAG